Molecule: long non-coding RNA, 385 nt
Filed under: Malus domestica (apple)
Lineage: Eukaryota; Viridiplantae; Streptophyta; Magnoliopsida; Rosales; Rosaceae
Description: long non-coding RNA (MDOM_LNC004793)
Source: RNAcentral
AACGGAUAAGUAAAUUGAAAUCACAACUUAUGAAAUCACAACCGAAGGUAAUCAAUUCAUAUUACAAAUAUAUUCAUGGUUUUGAAUUAACCUCUAGCCAAAAUAAAAUUUAAUUACACAUUAUUAAAACAGAAAUAAAAUAGAAGUUUGGAAAGAUUUAACCGAGAGCGAGAGUGUUUCUGCUUCCUGUGCGCUGACCUCCUUCGUUCUGCCUUCUUCCUGACCUCCACGUCAGCUCCUGGCUCCCACGCUGCUCUGACUUCUCCUCUCGUCUCACCCAGUCCGAGUCCUCCUCGGUUUUCUGCUGCAGCAAGGCAGCUGUCUGCUCCUCUUUCCUCUCCGCAGCUUCACGCUGCCCAAAGGGCAGCCCUCUGCCUUCCACCAA